GUGUGUGUGUGUGUGACCCGAAAAUAUAAAAGUAUUAAAAAAAAUUGACCCUGACACCAAAAUAUAUGCAUAAUUUAGUAAUAAUUUUGACCCAUAUUAUUUCUGGCUUUGCCGCUAGUUGAGCCAAUUUGAGCUUGAAGGCCUGGGUUCUCUAUUCCAUGUUAAUUCCAUAAAUCAAUAGGAAUUAAAGAUAAGUAAGGUUACAUCCAUCAAUUAAAUUCUAGUCAAAACUCUAAGAAACAAUAAUAAUAUACUAUUAAAAAUUAGUAGUAUAAUCAAACUAAUGACAUAACAACAGAAGUAACUCGCAUUACAAAAAAUUAGCUCAGCUCAGCUCGUUACAAAAUAGGAAAACCAAACUAUAAAAUCACAUCCAUAUCGCAGAGACAUGUUCUGCCUCCAUUAAUCAAACAUCCACCGGACUCAUAAAACGCCGCCGGUGAGCCGUACAAGACUUCCUACCUAGAACGGUUGCGUCUCUGCCGUGGGAACAGAAACGCAGAAAAGUAGCCAAUUUGAGAACAAUGUUCCUAAGAACUUGACCCCUUUUUGGAAUCAAGCGAGGUGCGGUGAUCGGACGGAUUCUUUGUGAUGGCGACGGAGGUUGGCUGCGUAGGGCGGUAGCAGCCAUUAAUUUUGUGUUUGGGACGUGGAAGAUCGAAUCCGUCACAGUAGUGGCGGAGAAAGAACAAUGAAUAUAUAGGGGAGUGUUUCAGCCGCGUUUACGAGUAAAUUGGCGUGUGUUAUUAAUUCUUUCGAAUAAAAUAAUGUAUACAUUUCCUACGUGCUCUUACUUUUGCAUCGCUGACAUAAAUUUUCCUAUCUAAUUUUGAUAUUUUCACAUUAUCUUCUUUCAUAAGAAAACAAAAUAAAUUUCAUUUACAUGUGAAAAUAAUAUCAAAAUUAUAUAUAAAAAUAUCAUUUCCCUAUUCUCAAACUUAUUUAAUCCUAUGACCACUAUAUAAUUAAUUAAUACUCCUUGCAGUCCCAUUUGAUUUUAAUUUAGUUAAUCUGUGAAAUUCUAAAAUUUAAAUUAUGAUGUAUACUUUUUUUAGUUUGUAAAAUAAAAAAAAAUAUCUCCAAUAUUUUUUGAAUAAUUUAAAAUUUUAAUACUGACAUUAAUUAAAAUCAAAUAAAUUCACGUCGGUUAAAAAUUUUAAAUGAGAUUCUUUUGUAGAUUCAAGUCCUCCAUAAUACUCUCCUUUCUAUUAUAUAAGUUAUUUUAGAAUAUAUGACGUUUUAUAUAUAUUUAAGAGAAAAAAAUAUAUUUUUUUUAUUUUGUCCCUAAAAAAAUAGAGUAAUUGAGAGACGAGGAAGGAUAAUUAAUUAGUGCAUGAAUAAUAAUAAAAUUUUAAACUAGCAUUAAUUAUCUAACAUUAGAAUUAAUGACAUUUAUUAAUAUGUGUGAUUAUGUCUUAAAAUGUCAUAUAUAUAUAUAUAUAUAUAUAUAUAUAUAUAUAUAUAUUGGAAAAUAUGGAGGUACACAACCGUGUAACUUUUAAAGUUGCAUAGUCUACGAUCGUAGAGUGGUCACUCCACGAUUUGUGAAUUCACUCUACGAUUGUGGAUUACUCUACGAUCAUAGAGUGAAAUCACUCUACGAUCGUAGACCGUGUAACUUUAAAAGUUACACGACUGGGUACCUCCAUUUUUAUCAUAUAUAUUAUUGAACAACUUGUUGGGACAUGUUGGUCUUUAGCUGUGCCGCAACAAUCUCUUUUACUGCUACAAUAACUUGUUGCGACAGUGGAAAAAUGAAUUGUUAGAAUCAUACUCCCUCCGUUUCUUAAUAUAAGUCGUUUUAGAAAAAUAUUUUUGUUCUUUAAUAUAAGUCGUUUGAGAAUUUCAAGUAAGCAUUAAUUGCUUAGUUUCCAAUAUUACCCCAAGUAUUAAAUAUAACUUUGGUUCUCUCACUAUUUUCUAUCCAAUAAAUAGCAAUCUCUUCUUCCAAUACAAGGGUAAUAUAGACAAUCGAUAUUAUAGUUAAUGUUAUAUAAUCAUUUCAUUAAUACUUGUACACAACUCUAAAACGACCUAUAUUAAGGAACAGAGUGAGUAAUUGUUAGAAUAAUGUUCAUAAUAACCAAUUGCUAUAAAUGAAAACUCUCUCUCUCUAUAUAUAUAUAUAUAAGGGAAAGGAGGGAGUACAAAAUUUUUCCAUUUUUUGUAAUGAACUCUCGUAAAAUUUAGUGCUAUUCAUUAGUUGAAUGGUGGAGAUAUGAACCCACUUUGGCAGCAUAAACAGCGUAGGGAUUUCUGCAAGGCAAAAGGCUGCAGUGGUUUUCCCCUAGGUUGACUACUGAGUAACGUGUGGGGUGUCAUGUUUUGGAAGAUAUUGAAGGACAAACUAGUAUUUCUCACUUAAUUUAUUUGACAAUACUAUAUAUGUACUCCCUCGAAUGCCAUAUUUACAUGUUGGCCGCGCGCGUUUCUAUUUUCAGUUGCCCCAUAAUUAUUGGCUAGCACCAAAAGUCAAGGAAGCAAAAAUUGCAUAACACAACCUUGAAUAUAAAACACAAGUUGCACUAUAUUGUACGUAGAUGUCUUUUAACUUGUCAAAUAUGAAACACAAAAGUUACAAAGACUAGCUAGGAGAAAAAGUCUAAAUCAAUAAGAAAGCUUGAAUCUUUUCUCAAGGUGAAAGAGAAUAGAGUUUGUACUUUGAAUCAUGUGAAUUCAAAGGUUUAUACAAAUGAUCAAUAAAUAAAUAAAUAGGUAUUUAUAAAGUUGGCUACAUGUAGAACUACAACUCUUCUCGACAUAAUUCUAUGUCAGAUUACAAAUAAUCCCCAAAAAUCAACAGAUGAUCCUUUUAAAAAAUGACCUAAUGCCAAAAAAGCUUCCUCAAGUUUGAGUCUCAGGAGCCAGCAAGUAUGGUAUGAUCAAAAUCCAAGCUCGAGUCUUUAGCAAAAGAAUCUAAAGCAUUCUUCAAACUACCUUCCUAACAAAAAGUAAUCAGACCUUUUUUCUAUGACAAAUAAUUUGAGAAGCAAAAAGGGGGGAAAUACGCCUUAAAGACUGACCAACUACUCACACUUAAUAGAUCGAUAUAUGUGACGAACAAAGACUAAAGCCGCCCAAAAUCCAAUAGCCCCAAGCAUGAGAAAGAAACCAUAGCAGAUGCAAGCCAUGUAUCCAAAGAAGAAUGAGAUUUGCAUGAAACCAGACAUAUCAGAUCUUGCAUAGUAGUAGUACAAGCAGUAGCCAUAAAUAAAUAUGCCAGUUGAUCCACCACAAAGAAACGACCUAUUCCAAAUAAAAACACAGCCCAUGAGACAAUAAAAGCUCAUAUUGCAAAACUGAUCAUCGACAAAGAUACUAAAACAUGUCAUGCCAUGGGUCUAUGGAGGUUGAGGAAUGUUCCUUAAAGAGAGGCCUGUGAAGAGGUGAAACAUCCCAAAGAAACAUAUAUUGUUGGAUACCAUUUCACCAAGCUUGCAAGGACUAUUUCAUAUUUCAAACAACAUCAUGCUUCAGCAAUAAAUGAUUCUUAUCAUAAGGAAAACUCCACUGAAACAGAAGCAAUAACUAUAUAACAUAGCAGCAUAUCAUACCUUGUGAGAUAUAUUAAAAAGAAAAUGUUUUCCUAGAGAAUAAUAUGCCAGUUAAGAACAUUAAUAAAUGCUAUCAUUGUUGCAGAACGAGAGAAGAACAAAAGCAUGGAUAUAACAAGAAACUUGUUACCUCCACCACCAUUCAUGAUCUUCAGCAGCAAGUUGAAAGUAUGUCAAAGCCACAGUAAUGAAUGCAGUCACAAUUAGAAGAAUGAGAAAGACAAUAAAAAGGAUGCUGUAUAUUGUAUAGAUCCUGUGACCCCAUACACUGGCAAAUAUGUAGUAAAGCUCAAUGUAGAUGGCACUGAAUGGCAAAAACCCAGCCAUUGCCAUCUGAGGAAGUGUACUCCUGUACCAAGGGAGCUCUGGAAUCUCUCUAGGAUACUUUGUGGUGCGGCAUGGAGCUUGGAACUCAGUUUUACUGUUUUUCCCAGCAACCCCACCCAACGCAUGUAAUGGUAAUGUUACUAAAGUCCAUAUAAGGAUUAUAACCACAAUUGUUCCAAAUGGCAGUGCUGCAGUAGAGCUGUAAGCUAUGGCGAC
Molecule: long non-coding RNA, 4097 nt
Filed under: Panax ginseng (ginseng)
Lineage: Eukaryota; Viridiplantae; Streptophyta; Magnoliopsida; Apiales; Araliaceae
Description: long non-coding RNA (PGIN_LNC005919)
Source: RNAcentral